GCUCGAUCCAGAGAGUUCAGACGGCCGUUACGAUAUAAACGAUCUCCGUCAAUGAACGCGAUUGGAUUUAACUUUUUUAGGUGUCCUUAGCUCUGCCAGAAUGCUAAACGAAGACGAAAAUGUGUUGCAAAGACAUCCAAAAGGUUUUAAGGAGAAUGCAACAGGUUCCAGGGCCUCUUACCUGCGUGAUUCAUCAUCCAGGUUUUGCACAAAUUGUCUAAAUCCCUACACACAGAACAUUUAUCGUACCGACUAUAAGCCUUUGAGGUGCAGGACUAGAAUAUGCUUGGAGCUUCCUGAUCAGAUCGGUCACAAUUUUGGCUUUCGACGACCCCUGCACUGAAGAUGGCAUGCAAUCACGUCCUCCUUUGAAGGUCUCUCAAACUGUGAUGCCAGGUCCAUUGGAAUCGGG
Non-coding RNA from Paramisgurnus dabryanus, 412 nucleotides. The record is from RefSeq and is a predicted model, not a curated record. NCBI's taxonomy places the organism in Eukaryota, Metazoa, Chordata, Actinopteri, Cypriniformes, Cobitidae.